Molecule: non-coding RNA, 82 nt
Organism: Marasmius fiardii PR-910
Lineage: Eukaryota; Fungi; Basidiomycota; Agaricomycetes; Agaricales; Marasmiaceae
Source: the annotation of a GenBank genome assembly
GGGCACUUGGCACAGUUGGUAGCGCGCACGCUUCGCAUUUCGAAAAUGCGUGAGGUCGUGGGUUCAAUUCCCACAGUGUCCA